Molecule: ribosomal RNA, 166 nt
Filed under: uncultured bacterium
Lineage: Bacteria
Description: partial 16S ribosomal RNA
Rfam family: Bacterial small subunit ribosomal RNA
Source: RNAcentral
CGGGAGGCAGCAGUGGGGAAUAUUGCACAAUGGGGGAAACCCUGAUGCAGCAACGCCGCGUGAAGGAUGAAGGUUUUCGGAUCGUAAACUUCUUUGAUGAGGGACGAAUAAUGACGGUACCUCAAGAACAAGCCACGGCUAACUACGUGCCAGCAGCCGCGGUAAU